UUAUUAACAAAUAUUUGCACUGGAAUGCCCGAAACAGGAACAAAGGAUAGUAACUACGGGGGUGUGAGUGAUUGCUGGACCCAGACUAGGAAGGAGUCUAGUCUGUGAAAGAAGCUCACUGGAACAUCUCUGAG
Molecule: non-coding RNA, 134 nt
Organism: Chelonoidis abingdonii (Abingdon island giant tortoise)
Lineage: Eukaryota; Metazoa; Chordata; Testudines; Testudinidae
Source: RefSeq, a predicted model, not a curated record